ACCUCUGUGGUGUAGUGGUAGCAUGCGUCCGCGGUAUGGAUUGAAACGCUGGUUCGACUCCCGUCUGAGGCC
Molecule: non-coding RNA, 72 nt
Organism: Parelaphostrongylus tenuis
Lineage: Eukaryota; Metazoa; Nematoda; Chromadorea; Rhabditida; Metastrongylidae
Source: the annotation of a GenBank genome assembly